UACGUAGGGUGCAAGCGUUAAUCGGAAUUACUGGGCGUAAAGCGUGCGCAGGCGGUUUUGUAAGUUUGUCGUGAAAGCCCCGGGCUCAACCUGGGAAUUGCGAUGGAGACUGCAAGGCUAGAAUCUGGCAGAGGGGGGUAGAAUUCCACGUGUGAGACAGUGAAAUGCGUGAGAGAGUGUGGAGGAACACCGAUGGCGCAAGGCAGCCCCCUGG
RNAcentral lists this ribosomal RNA (214 nucleotides) under uncultured bacterium. Its description in RNAcentral is "partial 16S ribosomal RNA". It matches the Rfam family "Bacterial small subunit ribosomal RNA", at positions 524 to 732 of the family's 1533-position model. The record is from RNAcentral.